This 284-nucleotide small nuclear RNA is filed under the name Mus musculus (house mouse). Its description in RNAcentral is "7SK RNA". It matches the Rfam family "7SK RNA". Rfam says of the family: 7SK was discovered as an abundant small nuclear RNA in the mid-70s but a possible function has only recently been suggested. Two independent studies have found that 7SK RNA binds the CDK9/cyclin T complex (known as elongation factor P-TEFb). P-TEFb activates transcription by phosphorylating the C-terminal domain of RNA polymerase II. Lineage: Eukaryota; Metazoa; Chordata; Mammalia; Rodentia; Muridae. The record is from Rfam by way of RNAcentral.
UGACAUGUAAGUGAUCUGGUUGUGAUAUCAGUCACCCUAUUGAUUGUCACGGUUAAGUCUGUUGAUAUGUUUAGAUAAGUGGUAGACCCUUCUCUUAUUGCUCCAUGCCUACCCUCUCAAUGCACAAGCUUUGUUGAAGAAUAUCUUCUUAUCUGAGCAGAGGACAAUUCGAUUCUUUAGAGUGAGAGUAGCUUUAAAAUAAUUCAAUGUACAAAGCGAUUAGGCAUGUAUAGAAUGCAUUUCAUUAUUUUUCAAUACAAAGAAUCUAAAUAUGGUGAUUCUUU